GUGACAGAAGAGAGUGAGCACCCAGGGUGUUUUCUUGCAUGCUUGGGCUUUCAUGCUUGAAGCUUUGAGUGCUCACUCUCUAUCUGUCAU
Molecule: non-coding RNA, 90 nt
Organism: Gossypium hirsutum (cotton)
Lineage: Eukaryota; Viridiplantae; Streptophyta; Magnoliopsida; Malvales; Malvaceae
Source: Rfam